Molecule: long non-coding RNA, 1093 nt
Filed under: Homo sapiens (human)
Lineage: Eukaryota; Metazoa; Chordata; Mammalia; Primates; Hominidae
Description: HSALNT0102343
Source: RNAcentral
AAAAAUUGACAGCAUAGUUCACAGAGCCAGUGCCGUGGUGCAGCUGCCUGGAACUCGCUGCCAUCAUACGCUUUGGACAGGAGACAUGAAACACUGCCUGGAUAGCUCCUGGCUGAGGAGGUUGUGAGAAGCGCAUUUGUCUGCACAUUGUGGUGCCUGUGACACCGGGAAGAGAUGGAGGUCACAGGGGGAAGAAAAACCCUGGAUUUCCAGAACACUGCUACCCCUCUCACCAAUUGGUCGCCAGUAUGGAGACUGAUUUCAUGAAGGUCCAGCGUCUGCUGCGGGCAGUGACCUCGGUCCCUUUCUGGGUCAAACGGCAGAGUGAAGCUGCAGCCAAAUUGAGGGUAAAUAACAGUCACAGCAGGAAGUAGGGAGAAUCCUGUACAGCUGAAACGAUCCUUGAGGAUCCCUGCCAUGGUAGGUGAGAGCAGCAGGGGGGGAAUUUGGAUGACUGGGUGUAUCAUUCUCUUACAGGAAGAAAAAAAUGAAAAAAGGCGAGGACAGCAUAGAGCUAGAAGGGAGGAAAUAAACAGAUGAGGGAGUGAGGAAAAGAGUAGGGAAAGAGAAAAGGGAGGUAGAAAAAAUCCUUUUUGUCUCCAAUCAGUUACAGGUGUAAAGCUUUCUCUAUGUCUGAUCUAGUGCAACUCUAGGCUUUGGAUGGCAUUUUUAUCUCUGCUAGGUUUUUGUUAAAUGAGCACCACACUGGAACCCACUGUUUAUUAACAAAGAAAUGACUGCGUAGAGCUCAAGAAGGGAGGCACAUGGUAGGUUCUUGUCCUCUUCUCAUUCCUGCUAAGAAGUGAGGGGUGCUCCCAAGUGGAUGUUUCACUGCAGGACUAGAAGCAGCACAGGAGGAUUUUUGCAUUCUAAAUGUGAGCACCUCUUAGAAGCACAUACCAGUUCCAGGAGAAAUGUACUAACACUAAAAGCAUAUAUAUUUUAUAAUUUACCAACUAGGACAUGACUGAAUUUUAAUUUGGGUUCCUUAAAAGACACACAAAACACAAACAUUUUGAGUUAAAUGUAAGAGCUGAAGAGGGGUAUGGGUUUCGAGAUGGAAAAUAUCCUAUGGUAACUACACGGUACCUGG